AGUAGAGCUAGAAUACUUGUAAAAGUAUUACCCAAAUGAUACUCGUAUGUUUUUAGCCCUUGGAUGGAGAGAUGUGAGGUUGAGAUGAUAGUGAUAGGUGGUGGUAGGUGGUGGUAGGUGUAAUAGUGUUUGAUCUAAAGGCUAUUAGUAAUCAAAAAGUAGAUCCAAUGGUUAAAAACACACAAGUAUCACUUGGGUGAUACUUGUAAAAGUAUUCUAGCCCUACUCUAUAUAGUUGAGCUACAAUACUUUCAAAAGCACCAAAGGAGUCGUGCUUUUGAGUUUUUAACCAUUGAAUAAAGAGAUGUAGGGUUGAGAUGAUGGUGCAUGGUAGGUGGUGGUAGGUGGAAUAAUGUUUGAUCUAAAGGUUAUUAAUAAUCAAGGAGUAGAUCUAAGGGCUAGAAACCUGGAAGCACUGAGAACUUGGGGCUUCUAAAAGUAUUCUAGCUCAAUUUUAUACAUAUAUAGAGGGAGAGAGUAGGGGGGUUUGGGGCGACACGUGUCACCCUGUGGUACCCGUGAGUUUUUAACCAUUGGAUGAAGAGAUGUAGGGUUGAGAUAAUGGUGGUAAGUGGUGGUAGGUGGAAUAAUGUUUGAUCCAAAAGUUAUUAAUAAUCAAGGAGUAGAUCUAAGGGCUAGAAACCUGGAAGCACUGAGAACUUGGUGCUUCUAAAAGUAUUCUAGCUCAAUUCUAUACAUAUAUAGAGAGAGAGAGAGUAGGGGGGUUUGGGAGGACACAUGUCACCCUGUGGUACCCGCAAGCCCUCUUUUAGGGCUUGUUUGGUUCAAAGAUGGAAUUGGAAUGAAUAAUGGAAUGAGAAUGAAUUGGAAUGAUAAUUAGAAUGGCCCACUCCAACAAGACGUUUGGUUUAUUUAUGGAUUGAGAAUUGGAAUUAGUUAUUCACAUUUCAUUGUUUGGUUCGUAUAAAUUAAAAAAAUUAUAGGAUACUAUAAUAAUAAUUUUACUCUCAAAUAUAAAUUUAUAUUAUUUAAAAUUUAUGAAAAAUAUAAUACUAAUCUCUAUUAAGUUUUCUAAAAAAAAAUAUCAAAUUUAUUUUUAAAAACUUUUAUUGAUGUGGGUUAAGGAUAGGGUUUUGAGAGAUGAUAGGUUUUUUUUUUUUUGAUGAGAAAUGGGUGAAGAGAAGGAGGGUGAGAUGGUCACAUGGGCUUCGAGAACUUAGUAGGCUUCCGGAAUGAAAUCUCUAUCCGGGCUAGAAAAUCGGAAUCAAGUUGAAGGCUAAUGGGUCAUUCCCAUUCCAGUCCGGAAUAGGAAUCCCCAACCGUCAUGCGAACCAAACAAAAUUAAUCGGAUUUGAUCAAAUCGAUUUUCAUUUCAUACCGAAAAUGGAUGAACCAAACAAGCCCCUAAUGUAGUUAGAAGAAAAAGAUGGUUAGAAGAUAGAAG
Molecule: long non-coding RNA, 1405 nt
Filed under: Ananas comosus (pineapple)
Lineage: Eukaryota; Viridiplantae; Streptophyta; Magnoliopsida; Poales; Bromeliaceae
Description: long non-coding RNA (ACOM_LNC011551)
Source: RNAcentral